UCGGGAAUUUUGGGCAAUGGGCGAAAGCCUGACCCAGCAACGCCGCGUGAAGGAUGAAGUAUUUCGGUAUGUAAACUUCACAAGAAUGGGAAGAAUAAGUGGGGGAUAACACCCCCCAUGAUGACGGUACCAUUUGUAAGCUCCGGCUAACUCCGUGCCAGCAGCCGCGGUAAUACGGGGGGAGCAAGCGUUGUUCGGAUUUACUGGGCGUAAAGGGCGCGUAGGCGGCGCAACAAGUCAGUUGUGAAAUCUCUGAGCUUAACUCAGAGCGGUCAACUGAUACUGUCGUGCUAGAGUGCAGAAGGGGCAACUGGAAUUCUCGGUGUAGCGGUGAAAUGCGUAGAUAUCGAGAGGAACACCUGCGGCGAAGGCGGGUUGCUGGGCUGACACUGACGCUGAGGCGCGAAAGCUAGGGGAGCGAACGG
RNAcentral lists this ribosomal RNA (425 nucleotides) under uncultured bacterium. Its description in RNAcentral is "bacterial SSU rRNA". It matches the Rfam family "Bacterial small subunit ribosomal RNA", at positions 355 to 775 of the family's 1533-position model. The record is from RNAcentral.